UAAUGUGAAUUGCAGAAUUCAGUGAAUCAUUCGAAUCUUUCGAACGCACCUUGCGCUCCUUGGUAUUCCGAGGAGCAUGCCUGUUUGAGUGUCAUU
Molecule: ribosomal RNA, 96 nt
Filed under: uncultured fungus
Lineage: Eukaryota; Fungi
Description: partial 5.8S ribosomal RNA
Rfam family: 5.8S ribosomal RNA
About the family: 5.8S ribosomal RNA (5.8S rRNA) is a component of the large subunit of the eukaryotic ribosome.
Source: RNAcentral